Molecule: long non-coding RNA, 1779 nt
Filed under: Gigantopelta aegis
Lineage: Eukaryota; Metazoa; Mollusca; Gastropoda; Neomphalida; Peltospiridae
Description: uncharacterized LOC121379320
Source: RNAcentral
UGAGAAAAAAGAAAAGAAAAGAAAAAACCCCCAAAGAGUCUGGAAACUAUGUGGGAUAGAUGGGAUAGAUGGAUGGACGGACAGACAGACAGACAGAGAAAAAAACCCAAGUCAUCUCCAGUUGGACCGCAAACCAGAUGGCAGAAGCUAUUAGCUUUAAUGGCAAAUGAGAACAAAGUAAGAUGGAAAAGUCUAUUCAAUGACACCCCGGCACAGUUUACUCAGGUUUUAAACAUGAUGUUGUCACAAAUAAUCUAUGCUAGACUGAUCUGUUGCAUGUGCCCAUUCAGAAUACCAGAUUGGAAUGAAGCAAACAGAUGGCAUUGUCGCAUGACAAGCAUGUCGGGUCACACUGCACACAAUGUCAAACACAGAGUCAACAUGGAGUCAUUGUGCUAUUUUAAUUACUUUGUUUUAACAACAUCGCAGACAACAGCCACUACUUUGUAAAACAUGCCAGCAUGAUAUAUAGUCAGCCCAGAUGUUGUCAUAAGAAGAAUCUGUGAUACAGCACAAUAUGGGAUUAGUUAUCAUAAAUUUGAACAUGUUAAAUUUAUGACAUCUUGCAAUAUUGCAAGAUUUGAAAUGUUGCAUUAUUCAAAUUUAAGACGUUUUUCAAUGUAGCAUUAUUUAACGAGUAAAACUGAUGACAUUUUGGAAUGUUGCAUUCAAGAAUUCAACUUUAGGAAAAAAAAUUCAAUGAUGCACAAUUUAAAUUUAAGACGGUGCAAUAUUGCACACCAUUAAUUGCCUGUAAUUUAAUAAGAGAUGAUUCUAGACAUCAUCAUGACCAAAACUGUUGGGUGCUUAUAGAAUAUAACAAUUAAUGACUAAAUAGUUCAACAUGAACUUGUACAUCAACUCUGAACUCAUUUUAUAAUUGUUUUUAAUUUGUCUACAAAAAUAUUUCAUUAGCCAUGCUAUGACAACAAGUCUUUGAUCUCAAAUAAGAUGUCUAAACCCAGAUACAGGAAAAGAAACACUGACAAUACAGGUUAUGGUGACAUCUCAAGAUACUACAGACGUUCACCAAAGAGGUGAAGAAGACUUUAACACAAACAUGGGGAAUAUAGCAAGGCAACAAUAAAAUAAACAGACCUAACACUACGUUGAUAGACUGUGUGUGCUGCUAAUGUGGUAUGCAGGAAGGGGAAAAACAUUUCCUUAUAGCACCAUUAGUCUGCCAAUGUAAGAAAGUAAAUGCACAUGUGUAUUUCUUACAAUACUGUUUUUUUUUGUGUAGCUAAAAAAAGAAUACUGGAAUUUGUUUAAGCAGUGCUUAUAAGGAAGAGGAUGUAGAGAAAAUGUAAUUUAAAUACACAGCAGACUAAAACUAUUUUAAUGUUCUUUUCCAGAUAAUAUGGAAACUUAAUUCAUGCUUCUAUGAAUAUAAUAUAUGUACAGAACUCGAAAUAAAAAGUAAAAUAUGGCCUGGUGUUAUUUUUAAAAAAUAGCAGGCCAAGAGAAAAAACAAAAUGGUCUGCUGAAUAUAAGAUCAGCACUGGGUGAGUGGAUGAUUUGGGACAGUGUGUGGAAAAUUGGGACCUUUGAGAUGUAUUUUAGAACAUUAUGAAAUUACAAUAUAACAGAAUCAUGGACUAAAUAGAAGAUGAGAUAAUCAUACAUAUAUCAGUCUGUUGAAAAAUUACUUGCACAUUUUUGAUAAUUUUAGCAUGCGAUUUUCUAUUCCACUUGCUAGGUGUAAAAAAUGGACUGCCUUUUGCAGACCAUAUUUGGAGCCCUACCCCCUUGCUUAUAAACCUUAAAGUCUAGACUUUA